GUCAGGAUGGCCGAGUGGUCUAAGGCGAUACGCUUAGAACGUACUCUACUAAAGUAGGCGUGGGUUCGAAUCCCACUCCUGGCA
Molecule: transfer RNA, 84 nt
Filed under: Lytechinus variegatus (green sea urchin)
Lineage: Eukaryota; Metazoa; Echinodermata; Echinoidea; Temnopleuroida; Toxopneustidae
Description: tRNA-Leu
Rfam family: tRNA
About the family: Transfer RNA (tRNA) molecules are approximately 80 nucleotides in length. Their secondary structure includes four short double-helical elements and three loops (D, anti-codon, and T loops).
Source: RNAcentral